UCGAAAACCUGUCCCAGUUCGGACUGGAGUCUGCAACCCGACUCCACGAAGUUGGAUUCGCUAGUAAUCGCGCAUCAGCCAUGGCGCGGUGAAUACGUUCCCGGGCCUUGUACACACCGCCCGUCAAGCCAUGGGAGCCGGGGGCGCCUGAAGUCCGGGACCGCGAGGACCGGCCUAGGGCGAAACUGGUGACUGGGGCUAAGUCGUAACAAGGUAUC
Molecule: ribosomal RNA, 218 nt
Filed under: uncultured bacterium
Lineage: Bacteria
Description: partial 16S ribosomal RNA
Rfam family: Bacterial small subunit ribosomal RNA
Source: RNAcentral